RNAcentral lists this ribosomal RNA (403 nucleotides) under uncultured bacterium. RNAcentral's name for it is "partial 16S ribosomal RNA". It matches the Rfam family "Bacterial small subunit ribosomal RNA", at positions 29 to 526 of the family's 1533-position model. The record is from RNAcentral.
AUUGAACGCUGGCGGCAGGCCUAACACAUGCAAGUCGAGCGAGCGGCGGAGGGGGGAGUAAUGUAUGGGGAAUGUCCGAUAGAGGGGGAUAACUACUGGAAAAGGUAUCUAAAAACGCACACGAUCGGAUUACCCAGAUGGGAUUGGCUAGUAGGGGAGGUAAUGGCUCACCUAGGCGACGAUCCCUAGCUGGGCUGAGAGGAUGAUCAGCCACACUGGGACUGAGACACGGCCCAGACUCCGACGGAGGCAGCAGUGGGGAAUAUUGCACAAUGGGCGAAAGCCUGAUGCAGCCAUGCCGCGUGUAUGAAGAAGGCCCUAGGGUUGUAAAGUACUUUCAGUCGGGAGGCGUUACCGACAGAGGAAGCACCGGCUAACUACGUGCCAGCAGCCGCGGUAAUAC